This 414-nucleotide ribosomal RNA is filed under the name uncultured microorganism. RNAcentral describes it as "bacterial SSU rRNA". It matches the Rfam family "Archaeal small subunit ribosomal RNA", at positions 459 to 872 of the family's 1478-position model. The record is from RNAcentral.
CAGCCGCCGCGGUAAUACCGGCCCCGCGAGUGGUCGGGGUGAUUAUUGGGCCUAAAGCGUCCGUAGCCGGGUUGGUUAGUCUCCCGGGAAAUCUGGCCGCUUAACGGUCAGAAUUCCGGGAGAUACUGCCAGCCUAGGGACCGGGAGAGGCCGAGGGUAUUCCCGGAGUAGGGGUGAAAUCCUAUAAUCCCGGGAGGACCACCUGUGGCGAAGGCGCUCGGCUGGAACGGGUCCGACGGUGAGGGACGAAGGCCAGGGGAGCAAACCGGAUUAGAUACCCGGGUAGUCCUGGCUGUAAACGAUGCGGACUUUGUGUCGGACAAGCUAUGAGCUUGUCCGGUGCCGGAGGGAAACCGUUAAGUCCGCCGCCUGGGGAGUACGGCCGCAAGGCUGAAACUUAAAGGAAUUGGCGGG